RNAcentral lists this ribosomal RNA (497 nucleotides) under uncultured bacterium. RNAcentral's name for it is "partial 16S ribosomal RNA". It matches the Rfam family "Bacterial small subunit ribosomal RNA", at positions 28 to 507 of the family's 1533-position model. The record is from RNAcentral.
GAUGAACGCUGGCGGCGUGCCUAAUACAUGCAAGUCGAGCGAACAGACGAGGAGCUUGCUCCUCUGACGUUAGCGGCGGACGGGUGAGUAACACGUGGAUAACCUACCUAUAAGACUGGGAUAACUUCGGGAAACCGGAGCUAAUACCGGAUAAUAUAUUGUACCGCAUGGUUCAAUAGUGAAAGACGGUUUUGCUGUCACUUAUAGAUGGAUCCGCGCUGCAUUAGCUAGUUGGUAAGGUAACGGCUUACCAAGGCAACGAUGCGUAGCCGACCUGAGAGGGUGAUCGGCGACACUGGAGCUGAGACACGGUCCAGAGUCCUACGGGAGGCAGCAGUAGGGAAUCUUCCGCAAUGGGCGAAAGCUUGACGGAGCAACGCGGAGUGAGUGAUGAAGGUCUUGGGAUCGUAAAACUGUGUUAUUAGGGAAGAACAAAUGUGUAAGUAACUAUGCACGUCUUGACGGUACCUAAUCAGAAAGCCACGGCUAACUACGUG